AAUGGUUAGUGGCAGACGGGUGAGUAUGCGUAGGAUCUACCUAGUAGUACGGAAUAGCCAUUAGAAAUGGUCGGGUAAUACUGUAUAAUCCCCGAGGGGGAAAGAUUUAUCGCUAUUAGAUGAGCCUACGUUAGAUUAGCUAGUUGGUGAGGUAAUGGCUUACCAAGGCUAUGAUCUAUAGCUGGUCUGAGAGGACGAUCAGCCACACUGGAACUGAGAUACGGUCCAGACUCCUACGGGAGGCAGCAGUGGGGAAUAUUGGACAAUGGGCGAAAGCCUGAUCCAGCUAUGCCGCGUGAGUGAAGAAGGCCUUCGGGUUGUAAAACUCUUUCAAUAGGGAAGAUAAUGAGGUACCUAUAAUCUCGCGAUGGCAGUCUAUUGCACAUGAACCUACAAAGUUACUAAAUUUUGACCAAUUCCCAAUGCUGUUUAAAUCUUUUAAAAACCUCCGAAUUGUUCAACUUAUUAGUCUCUAGUACGGGGGGGGGGGGGGGGAGGUAAACCACCCCCCCCGCAGGUUUUGGGUUUAAAAAACUAUAAAGAUUUUUAAAAUUUGGACAAUUAUAAAUUUUCAAAAUUUUAAAAUUUUAAAUUUUUAACACUCAUAAUACCUUUUACCCUUUUUCUAAUUUUGCUAUAUUUGUCUUUUUAACUACCUUCUUUUCCCUUUUAAUUUUUUAAUUUUGCUCUAUAUUUUUUUUCCCUUUAACAACAUUUUUUUCAAAUUUUUUUUACACAAAAUUUUUAAAUUGAAAAAACAAAUUUUUUAAC
This 771-nucleotide ribosomal RNA is filed under the name Ehrlichia canis. RNAcentral's name for it is "partial 16S ribosomal RNA". The stretch from base 1 to 461 matches the Rfam family "Bacterial small subunit ribosomal RNA", at positions 87 to 537 of the family's 1533-position model. Lineage: Bacteria; Pseudomonadati; Pseudomonadota; Alphaproteobacteria; Rickettsiales; Anaplasmataceae. The record is from RNAcentral.